Molecule: long non-coding RNA, 312 nt
Filed under: Lathyrus oleraceus (garden pea)
Lineage: Eukaryota; Viridiplantae; Streptophyta; Magnoliopsida; Fabales; Fabaceae
Description: Pisum sativum (pea) long non-coding RNA (PSAT_LNC026700)
Source: RNAcentral
AGUUCUUAAAUGCGGCUCCAUAGGGUGCAGACAGGGGUUUGGUUGAACUAUGGUUGAUUUCUGAUAAAAUUUGCUUGCUGUCUUAACUCAACUUUAGAACUGCUUUUCCUCUGCGUCCCACACAUGCCUGCACUAUUGAUUGACAAAUUAAAAAAAGUCUUCUAUUAGCGCUCAUUUUGUAUUGGAUUUUCUUCUCUUUUUCUUUUUCUAGUUAGUGUUUCAAAAGCUUUUUCUCUGACUUCUGUGACAUUUGUCCCGAAAACAACGUUCGACUUGCAUGUGUUAAGCAUAUAGCUAGCGUUCCUUCUGAGC